GUGUGAGGAGUUAUUAUUAUUAUUUGGGAAAAUGGGGGUAUUUUCCACUGGCCAGACUCCUCAACUUUUUUUCAGUUGAAUCCCUGGGAAACCCAGAGCCGAACCCCAACAUGGCAGCGGGAUCAAGAAAGCGAGGCGGAGCAAACUCCGAGAUUCUGAGAUCCGUCGGGCCGGCUGUAUGGAGACACCCAGCUGCACUCAGUGAUGCCCAGAGUCUCGCCCCUGGGUGAUGGAGGGAUUUCUAACACGGGGCCCUAUGAUCUCCCUGCAGACUGGGGGACAGUGAGUAAACAUUUCUCCCGGACACCAUGUCUCUUGCAGUAUCACCACAUCUGUUCCUGUUGUACUCUUAACAAAGAGAGGCAAGCGAGGCUUUUUGAAACCCAGUGCAUCGGACUCCCCAGCUGUGUGAAGCACUCAACUGAUGUAUGCUGUAAAUAUGUACUGCAGAUCCUGCUCUUUUGUUCCUGACCUCUCCGUGCCCAACAGCUUUAAAUUGGAUGAACACUCAAGGGUUGGGGCAGACCAGGCUUUGUAGAGAUGUUUAACAACCCAUCUGCCACUAGAGGGCAGUAAAGGACUCUAUUAGUUGUAAAUAGGCACAGCGGGUGACAAUUCACUUUUCACUUUCACGCGGGUGUAACUGGAGGAAUGUUUGGGACAUCAAGUCAGGGGCCGGGCGGGUGACAGUAGCAGGAGAAGCUGAUCCGUUUGUGUUCUCUCUGUCAGGACCUGGUCUGUCACGGAGGGAGGGGGGGAGCUUAUCGCCAGAGGAACAGGGCCGGACGGCAGUGUGACCACAGGAUGACGCCUCUUGAUCUCCACACAGCUGCAGGCAGGAAGUGGGGAUCUGCAGGGAUUGCAGGUUUUCAACACAAGAGACGCUCAAUAAGAAGCAAUAACUCCUGCAAUCAAGUGUCUGACCAGCGAUGAACACCUGUCUCGUCUCAUCAACAGCUGGAGGCAGCAGAUCGGGGUACAGCGGAUCAGGUGGGCGUCAAAUCCCAAAAUAAUUGGCAAGUCCAAAUUCUAACAUUCAUAACCAGGUCUGACCCUCGUCAGCAGUUAUAUUCCAGAGACUCGGAAAUCACUCUAAUAAAAACAGGCCUUUUCAUCCAAAGGGUUCUCAUACCGCCUCUCAAUUGAACCUCCUGGCGAUCGAUCUAUCACAUUUCACUGCUGCUAAAAGCCAAUCAGCACUGCCACAACGUAGCACAGUCUCCAGCAAAUACCCGACACUCGACAGACACGAGCCUUGAGAUUUAAUUAGCAGCUCCCCUUGGCGCUGAUGUAGCCGGAACCCACAGCUGACAGACAGUGAGACCCAGCCCCCCCCCCCCCACAGCCUGCUGGGUGAAGGCUGAGUUCGUGAAGAGCUGAGCUGAGUGGAGGCUGAGAUCGAGGCGCAUUUCCUCAACGGUCAUUACUGUGCUUCCAAAAACAUGCCUGGUUCUCGGCAAAGAGCCACGCCUCCCAGCCCAGUGCGUUACAGGAGCCCAGAACACACCACUCUUUACACCUUUCAGUAAUAAUAAUAACUCCUGACACUUCUAGAGCUCUU
Molecule: non-coding RNA, 1561 nt
Organism: Lepisosteus oculatus (spotted gar)
Lineage: Eukaryota; Metazoa; Chordata; Actinopteri; Semionotiformes; Lepisosteidae
Source: RefSeq, a predicted model, not a curated record